RNAcentral lists this microRNA precursor (104 nucleotides) under Marmota monax (woodchuck). The record is from RNAcentral. Lineage: Eukaryota; Metazoa; Chordata; Mammalia; Rodentia; Sciuridae.
AUUUGAAUCACCUGGGGAUGUUGUUAAAAUGUUAAUUCUGAUUCAGUAGGUCUGGGUGGGGCCAAGUCUCUGCAUUUCUUUCAAGGUUCCCAGGUGAUGGGGAU